AUACUUACCUGGAUGGGGUCUAUGGGCGAUCAAAAAUGUUCAUGGCCUAGGUUAGUGACCUCCAUUGCACUUUGGAGCGGUGCUCGCCUAAGAUCUACCCAAGUGGUGGAGUCUACAUCAUAAUUUGUUGCAGAGGGGGAACGCGUUCGCGCGGCCCCUGC
Molecule: non-coding RNA, 161 nt
Organism: Thalictrum thalictroides
Lineage: Eukaryota; Viridiplantae; Streptophyta; Magnoliopsida; Ranunculales; Ranunculaceae
Source: the annotation of a GenBank genome assembly